CACAAGCUGAGAUGUAUUAAGUCUCUUGUGAUUUUGAACCUACAUUUGAAUAAAAGGGAUUCCUACAUCAUUACAUUGAAGUCAAGCCUCGUUAUAUAAGUUCUAGUGGACGGCUGAUAUGUAGUUGCGGUUGCCCACCUAGCUCUGCUAGGACUCAAAAGCAAGGGCGCAUUUCAGUUUAUUA
Non-coding RNA from Coprococcus eutactus CAG:665, 184 nucleotides. The record is from Rfam. NCBI's taxonomy places the organism in Bacteria, Bacillati, Bacillota, Clostridia, Lachnospirales, Lachnospiraceae.